UAAGACGAACCGUGCGAACGUUGUUCGGAAUCACUGGGCUUAAAGGGCGCGUAGGCGGGCGAUCAAGUCAGGGGUGAAAGCCUCCAGCUCAACUGGAGAAGUGCCUCUGAUACUGGCCGUCUCGAGGGAGGUAGGGGCGUGCGGAACUUCCGGUGGAGCGGUGAAAUGCGUAGAUAUCGGAAGGAACACCGGUGGCGAAAGCGGCGCGCUGGACCUCUUCUGACGCUGAGGCGCGAAAGCCAGGGGAGCGAACGGGAUUAGAUACCCCGGUAGUCCUGGCCCUAAACGUUGGGUACUAGGUUGUGGGCUUACAUGGGCUCACAGCCGAAGCAAAAGUAUUAAGUACCCCGCCUGGGGAGUAUGGUCGCAAGGCUG
Molecule: ribosomal RNA, 375 nt
Filed under: uncultured bacterium
Lineage: Bacteria
Description: bacterial SSU rRNA
Rfam family: Bacterial small subunit ribosomal RNA
Source: RNAcentral